GUGGGGAAUAUUGGACAAUGGGCGCAAGCCUGAUCCAGCCAUGCCGCGUGAGUGAUGAAGGCCUUAGGGUUGUAAAGCUCUUUCAGUAGGGAAGAUAAUGACGGUAUCCGGAGAAGAAGCCCCGGCUAACUUCGUGCCAGCAGCCGCGGUAAUACGAAGGGGGCUAGCGUUGUUCGGAAUUACUGGGCGUAAAGCGCACGUAGGCGGACAUUUAAGUCAGGGGUGAAAUCCCGGGGCUCAACCCCGGAACUGCCUUUGAUACUGGGUGUCUGGAGUAUGGAAGAGGUAAGUGGAAUUCCGAGUGUAGAGGUGAAAUUCGUAGAUAUUCGGAGGAACACCAGUGGCGAAGGCGGCUUACUGGUCCAUUACUGACGCUGAGGUGCGAAAGCGUGGGGAGCAAACAGGAUUAGAAACCCGGGUAGUCC
Molecule: ribosomal RNA, 425 nt
Filed under: uncultured bacterium
Lineage: Bacteria
Description: partial 16S ribosomal RNA
Rfam family: Bacterial small subunit ribosomal RNA
Source: RNAcentral